RNAcentral lists this ribosomal RNA (373 nucleotides) under uncultured bacterium. RNAcentral's name for it is "bacterial SSU rRNA". It matches the Rfam family "Bacterial small subunit ribosomal RNA", at positions 29 to 416 of the family's 1533-position model. The record is from RNAcentral.
AACGAACGCUGGCGGCAGGCUUAACACAUGCAAGUCGAACGCACCGCAAGGUGAGUGGCAGACGGGUGAGUAACACGUGGGCAACCUACCCUCAACUCUGGGAUAACUUCGGGAAACCGGAGCUAAUACCGGAUAUGACCUUGUUGGACAUCCUUCGAGGUGGAAAGAAUUUCGGUUGAGGAUGGGCCCGCGGCCUAUCAGCUUGUUGGUGGGGUAAUGGCCUACCAAGGCGACGACGGGUAGCCGGCCUGAGAGGGCGACCGGCCACACUGGGACUGAGACACGGCCCAGACUCCUACGGGAGGCAGCAGUGGGGAAUAUUGCGCAAUGGGCGAAAGCCUGACGCAGCGACGCCGCGUGAGGGACGAAGACC